UUAAUUCAAAUUUGUAUGGAGUUGGAACGUUUGCCUACGUUUGCCGCCAGGGGCGCUGAUCCAACUGGAUACAAAUUAAGAGUUA
RNAcentral lists this microRNA precursor (85 nucleotides) under Bombyx mori (domestic silkworm). RNAcentral describes it as "mir-2807 microRNA precursor family". It matches the Rfam family "mir-2807 microRNA precursor family". Lineage: Eukaryota; Metazoa; Arthropoda; Insecta; Lepidoptera; Bombycidae. The record is from Rfam by way of RNAcentral.